GAGCAGUGACGAUUUCUGCACUACGGUUGAUGGUUGGGUCCAUCACAAUUGUCUGAUCAAUUUGACGAAAAUACGUGCAUCUGAGCUC
This is a small nucleolar RNA of Alnus glutinosa, 88 nucleotides long. RefSeq annotates it as small nucleolar RNA snoR114. Lineage: Eukaryota; Viridiplantae; Streptophyta; Magnoliopsida; Fagales; Betulaceae. The transcript has a single exon. The record is from RefSeq and is a predicted model, not a curated record.